GGCUUCACAGCUCAGUUGGUUAGAGCGUCGCACCGGUAUCGCGAAGUCACGGGUUCAAACCCCGUUGAAGUCC
This 73-nucleotide transfer RNA is filed under the name Acropora cervicornis. RNAcentral's name for it is "tRNA-Thr". It matches the Rfam family "tRNA". From Rfam's summary of the family: Transfer RNA (tRNA) molecules are approximately 80 nucleotides in length. Their secondary structure includes four short double-helical elements and three loops (D, anti-codon, and T loops). Further hydrogen bonds mediate the characteristic L-shaped molecular structure. tRNAs have two regions of fundamental functional importance: the anti-codon, which is responsible for specific mRNA codon recognition, and the 3' end, to which the tRNAs corresponding amino acid is attached (by aminoacyl-tRNA synthetases). tRNAs cope with the degeneracy of the genetic code in two manners: having more than one tRNA (with a specific anti-codon) for a particular amino acid; and 'wobble' base-pairing, i.e. permitting non-standard base-pairing at the 3rd anti-codon position. Lineage: Eukaryota; Metazoa; Cnidaria; Anthozoa; Scleractinia; Acroporidae. The record is from RNAcentral.